GACUGGUCAUUGUUUAUAAGUAGAUCAUUACAAACUUAACAAAGUCAUCUAAACACCAAUCAUGAUCUUGCUUUACUUUUAAAAAAUUUAAAGAAAGAAAACGAGUGAAACAAAGAGGAGCUCAUUACGAAAUUUUGAGAGAGAAAAAAAGAAAAACCAUUUUUAAAGAACAAUUAAAAACAAGACUUGACCUAAUCCCUUUAGGUUUCGCGCUUUGUUAGGUUUCACGCUUUCCUCUGUUUCCAUAAUCUCGAAUCACGUUAUUAUUCAUAGACCAUAUACGAAAAAAAGAAAACUAAAUAGCUAAAGAAAUGGAUCAAACAAUCACAACGAGUUUUUAUUCGUAUGGUCUAAAACCUACAUAGUAUAUAUAAUCCAAGAGAUUCAUAUCGUGCCUAGUUACUCAAGAAACGGUGCAGAUCUACUGAUUAUACACCUUUAGAUGCACACAUACAAACGCAAAGACAUAAGAUUUCUAUGAAGACUUAUGGUUUCAGAAGAUAAAAGAGACGUACUUUUGAGAAGCUUGUUAGAUAUAUAUGGAUCUCUUCUGUCUUAAGUACUACUCAACCUUUUGAUUUGCGUGAUGCGACAAUGGCUAAAAAACAGAGGAGGGUAAGUAUUUGGGUUUGGAGAGAGCAGAAUGGAUUAGAAGAAUAAUAGAUCGAGAGUGGUGCAGAAGCACGAGAGCUUAUGUUAUACACACACAUACACAAUUUUUGUUCACACACAACUUUUUUUUUUAAUUAUAAAAAUUAUAAUGUUCAAAAUUAAAAAUCCGAAUAGGUUAUGAUUUUUAAAUAAGAAACGUCUACCUAAUUAAAAAUAAGUCGAUAAAGUAACAAAACGCCUUUUAUAUCUUCUAUAACUUACUAGCUAAUACAUUUAUACUAGGUGUUCUACCCGCAUGUGCGGGCAUAGUAUUUUUAUAGAUAUUUAUCUGUCUAUAAAUAUUAAAUCAAAAACAACAUAAUAAAUUAUUAAUUAUAUUUUUAAAAAGAUAAACCAAAUAUUAAACUUUAUAUUUUAUAAUAAAAAAUAUUAUUUCAGAUAAAAGCAUAACAUAUUUAAGAAUUAUCUUAUGUUUUAAAAUAUAUUUUAUUUUUGAGAAUUUUAUUAUAUUUACUUGUAGUCAAUUAUCAAAUAUAACAUAAAUAAAAUAUUAUUAAUAUAUAUUCAUUAGUUUUUAUCAAAAGCAUAGGUUUCACGCUUUCCUCUGUUUCCAUAAUCUCGAAUCACGUUAUUAUUCAUAGACCAUAUACGAAAAAAAGAAAACUAAAUAGCUAAAGAAAUGGAUCAAACAAUCACAAGGAGUUUUUAUUCGUAUGGUCUAAAACCUACAUAGUACAUAUAUAUAAUCCAAGAGAUUCAUAUCGUGCCUAGUUACUCAAGAAACGGUGCAGAUCUACUGAUUAUACACCUUUAGAUGCACACACACAAACGCAAAGACAUAAGAUUUCUAUGAAGACUUAUGGUUUCAGAAGAUAAAAGAGA
This 1494-nucleotide long non-coding RNA is filed under the name Brassica napus (rape). RNAcentral's name for it is "long non-coding RNA (BNAP_LNC006036)". The record is from RNAcentral. Lineage: Eukaryota; Viridiplantae; Streptophyta; Magnoliopsida; Brassicales; Brassicaceae.